AGUGAACGCUGGCGGUAGGCCUAACACAUGCAAGUCGAACGGCAGCACAGUAAGAGCUUGCUCUUACGGGUGGCGAGUGGCGGACGGGUGAGGAAUACAUCGGAAUCUACUUUUUCGUGGGGGAUAACGUAGGGAAACUUACGCUAAUACCGCAUACGACCUACGGGUGAAAGCAUGGGAUCUUCGGACCUUGCGCGAUUGAAUGAGCCGAUGUCGGAUUAGCUAGUUGGCGGGGUAAAGGCCCGCCAAGGCGACGAUCCGUAGCUGGUCUGAGAGGAUGAUCAGCCACACUGGAACUGAGACACGCACCAGACUCCUACGGGAGGCAGCAGUGGGGAAUAUGGGACAAUGGGCGCAAGCCUGAUCCAGCCAUACCGCGUGGGUGAAGAAGGCCUUCGGGUUGGAAAGCCCUUUUGUUGGGAAAGAAAAGCAGCAGGUUAAUACCCCGCUGUUCUGACGGUACCCAAAGAAUAAGCACCGGCUAACUUCGUG
This 492-nucleotide ribosomal RNA is filed under the name uncultured bacterium. RNAcentral describes it as "partial 16S ribosomal RNA". It matches the Rfam family "Bacterial small subunit ribosomal RNA", at positions 29 to 507 of the family's 1533-position model. The record is from RNAcentral.